GUGCCAGCCGCCGCGGUAAUACGUAGGUGGCAAGCGUUGUCCGGAUUUAUUGGGCGUAAAGCGAGCGCAGGCGGUUUCUUAAGUCUGAUGUGAAAGCCCCCGGCUCAACCGGGGAGGGUCAUUGGAAACUGGGAGACUUGAGUGCAGAAGAGGAGAGUGGAGUUCCAUGUGUAGCGGUGAAAUGCGUAGAUAUAUGGAGGAACACCAGUGGCGAAGGCGGCUCUCUGGUCUGUAACUGACGCUGAGGCUCGAAAGCGUGGGGAGCAAACAGGAUUAGAUACCCUGGUUAGUCCACGCCGUAAACGAUGAGUGCUAAGUGUUGGAGGGUUUCCGCCCUUCAGUGCUGCAGCUAACGCAUUAAGCACUCCGCCUGGGGAGUACGACCGCAAGGUUGAAACUCAAAGGAAUUGACGGGGGCCCGCACAAGCGGUGGAGCAUGUGGUUUAUUCGAAGCAACGCGAAGAACCUUAACCAGGUCUUGACAUCCCUUGACCACUCUAGAGAUAGAGCUUCCCCUUCGGGGGCAAAGUGACAGGUGGUGCAUGGUUGUCGUCAGCUCGUGUCGUGAGAUGUUGGGUUAAGUCCCGCAACGAGCGCAACCCUUAUUGUUAGUUGCCAUCAUUCAGUUGGGCACUCUAGCAAGACUGCCGGUGACAAACCGGAGGAAGGUGGGGAUGACGUCAAAUCAUCAUGCCCCUUAUGACCUGGGCUACACACGUGCUACAAUGGGAAGUACAACGAGUUGCGAAGUCGCGAGGCUAAGCUAAUCUCUUAAAGCUUCUCUCAGUUCGGAUUGCAGGCUGCAACUCGCCUGCAUGAAGCCGGAAUCGCUAGUAAUCGCGGAUCAGCACGCCGCGGUGAAUACGUUCCCGGGCCUUGUACACACCGCCCGU
Molecule: ribosomal RNA, 893 nt
Filed under: uncultured bacterium
Lineage: Bacteria
Description: bacterial SSU rRNA
Rfam family: Bacterial small subunit ribosomal RNA
Source: RNAcentral